This 73-nucleotide transfer RNA is filed under the name Felis catus (domestic cat). It matches the Rfam family "tRNA". From Rfam's summary of the family: Transfer RNA (tRNA) molecules are approximately 80 nucleotides in length. Their secondary structure includes four short double-helical elements and three loops (D, anti-codon, and T loops). Lineage: Eukaryota; Metazoa; Chordata; Mammalia; Carnivora; Felidae. The record is from Rfam by way of RNAcentral.
AGAAGAGUGGUUUAGUGGCGAAAAACUCAGGCCUCUGGUCAGAGAGUCCUGGGUUCAAAUCUCAGCUCUGCCA